Molecule: ribosomal RNA, 253 nt
Filed under: uncultured bacterium
Lineage: Bacteria
Description: partial 16S ribosomal RNA
Rfam family: Bacterial small subunit ribosomal RNA
Source: RNAcentral
UACGUAGGGGGCAAGCGUUGUCCGGAAUCAUUGGGCGUAAAGAGCGCGUAGGCGGUCCGGUAAGUCCGCUCUGAAAGUCCGGGGCUCAACCCCGGGAGGCGGGCGGAUACUGUCGGGCUAGAGUCCGGAAGAGGCGAGUGGAAUUCCUGGUGUAGCGGUGAAAUGCGCAGAUAUCAGGAGGAACACCGGUGGCGAAGGCGGAUCUCUGGGCCGAUACUGACGCUGAGGAGCGAAAGCGUGGGGAGCGAACAGG